RNAcentral lists this small nuclear RNA (18 nucleotides) under Arabidopsis thaliana (thale cress). RNAcentral's name for it is "snRNA_09985". Lineage: Eukaryota; Viridiplantae; Streptophyta; Magnoliopsida; Brassicales; Brassicaceae. The record is from RNAcentral.
ACACAUAACCCACUCACA